This is a long non-coding RNA of Cyprinus carpio carpio, 2138 nucleotides long. NCBI's taxonomy places the organism in Eukaryota, Metazoa, Chordata, Actinopteri, Cypriniformes, Cyprinidae. The record is from Ensembl.
ACUGUUUUUAUUGUAUUUUUUUUAUCAAAUAAAUGAGACUUGUGCUUAAAAACAUAAAACUGACUAAAACUUUAUUAUCAUUAUUAUUCAUUUAUUUAUUAACCUUAUUUUAUUUUAAUGAAGUAAUGUUCUGAAUUUACCUUGUCGUCAAGUGUGGUAAAAUGUUUAGACUCGGAUACUGUAGCUUAAAUGAUGAUAAAGUGCCAUGAUGAAGACUUGAUUUGUCAAAAAGUGAAUAGCUACUGGUUUGACCUCAGUAUUCAUUCACGGAAGAGAGAAUGUUGCUGAUUGCUUUUGAUAUCAGCAUAUCGAAUGAAGUGCUGAUGAGCAUGCGAUUUACAGAACGGCCUUUAAUAGGUAACCUUGUCCCUCCAGCUGUCAGGGGAAUUCUGUGAACAAAAACAGUUCUCCUAGCUCUCUCUCUCUCUCUCUCUCUCUCUCUCUCUCUCUCUCUCUCUCUCUCUCUCUCUCUGGGUCUAGGGGAGCAGACUGGUUCUCAUGUCCUUGAGGUCUGUCAUGUUGGCAUCUUAAUUUUUCUUAGAUUUUUUGUUUGUUUGUUUUUCCUCUCUGUUGUUUGUCAACAUUGUUUUGUAUUCGUUUUGGUGUAUGGUCGUAAGGCACCCAACUUGACAGUCGUCUCAACAGGAAGAAGCGGAGUAGGUUCAUGCAAGGACAGAAGCGAAAGAGAACGAGAAGGAAGAAGUUUAGCUCCACUGGGAGCAAGUGGGAGAAAAAGAGAGAGAGCAAACCCUCGAGUUCAUCAAUGUGUUUCCAAUCUUUACUGGCAGGACAUCACCUCAGCACCAUUACAAGUCCUCUGAAUGCAGCAUGGCAGGGACUCCACACAGACAGAGCACAUGAAGCCAGUGGACCUGUCGCUCUCUCCUCCUCCGCUCAGCCAAGACCCCCCUGCUGUAAGGUGGAUUGAGGGUGUCUAGCAGGAACAAGAGGAGAAGAGAGCAAACGCAGAUGAAAAUGUUACUGGAAAGGGCAGCUACACUGAAAAACCGCCUCCUCUGAGAAUUGUCCUCGGCAGACAUGAAAAAAAUUGCAUUUUGUACCACAUAAAAGCCUCAUCUCCAUAGAAGGAAGAGAAAAGGAGAGAGAUGCUGCUCUUGGUAUUUUGGACAGGCUGCCUUAAAAGCAGCAUCUCUCUCCUUUUCUCUCAUUACCUGAAGAAAAACUGUGCCAUUAAAUUGAAAUUUAAUAUUCAAAAUUGUGUUUUAAUAUAGCUAUUCGCCUCCAUCCAUCCAAAUGUGGCUUCUGUCGCCGGCAUAUCUUAAAGCAAUUUAAUUGGACUAAUAGAGACAGCUGUUAAUAGCAGGGCUUCUAUUGUUUGUCUUUGGUGGGUUUUCAUCAAGGCUGAACCCUCAGGACACACUGAUAGAGUUUGAAGUAGAUUCAGUUGGAAUCCAGAAGAGAGCUUUUGGCUUCUGCAAGCAACACGGAGAGAGAUUUGACACAACACACACACAAGCACGUGGCGUAUGGCUUCUCUCAGAAAGUUCCCCAAAAUCCGCUGGAGUAAUUCAAUUGCGAGUUUCAGCUUGCCAGUAACACCAUAUGCAUCUUCCAUGUAGUCAAGAAUAGGCAUAAGAGUAAAGAUGCAAAAAGAUGGAUAUAUACUCCCAUUUGUAUCCCCAUUUAUAACACCUCGUGAGCAGGACAUAUGUGCGACUUCUCAGAGAAUGGAAAAACCUCAUCACCAACGUCAAGAAAAGAGGUCAAGUCCAAGGUCAAGGAUUCGGCAGCACAUAUUAAACAUGAACAGGAAGAUAUACAGCAGAAGCACUAUCAAACACUCCUCUAUCUGCACAUAAUCAAAGGGCAUUAGAGACAGAGGAGCUUCAAACGGCCUGCAUUACAGAGGCAGCCCUGUAAUGAUAUGACAAUGGAGAAGCAUCUCUGGAAUAUUAAGGUGCCAUGCGCCGGAAUUCACAAUGAAUUCAGACACCGGCUCCAAUCCCCAUGUUGGUCGAUGAUGAGUCAGGCCCAUGCGAGCAGCCUCCAAUAUGAGCCAACUUACAUCAGACAAAAAGCAGCAGAUCUGGAAUAAGAUUUAUUAUUUGCCAUAUCAAAGAGCAUCACAGAGCGUGACUGCACCAGAUCAGUGGAUGGGGGGUGAGUGCUACCUAAAU